This 485-nucleotide long non-coding RNA is filed under the name Nicotiana benthamiana. Its description in RNAcentral is "long non-coding RNA (NBEN_LNC027830)". Lineage: Eukaryota; Viridiplantae; Streptophyta; Magnoliopsida; Solanales; Solanaceae. The record is from RNAcentral.
UCCAAUUUUCGCGUGCAUAGAUCAUAGAAGGACCUGGUUCUUCUAUGUAUUUCUUAUACUAUUGUGGAGUAAUAAAUGAGGGAAGUAAAGAACACAAGUAUUUUUACGUGAAAAAACUCGGGUCGAAAGGUGAAAAAAUCAAGACCUACGUCUCAGUUAGAUUUUUUCCAACACUUCACUAAAUCACUAAGCCAAACCAACAUUUACAAAACUCUGAUCCUUUUAUGGCAACCAACCUCUAGCUGUUGCGACAACUUCAAGUUAACUCUAGUUUGUAUACAACACUCGUAGUACCUAGUACAAUUGCUUCUAGAAAAAACUGAAAGCUACAAUUUGAAAUGCCUACCACAAUGAAGCUAGAAUAAAAGAUAUACACUUGGAAUUUGUUCUUCUAUCCGGUUCAUGUAGCUUCAGGUUUGCACACUUGAAUCACACAUGAAUUGCUUGCAAAAUGCCUCGCUAUCUUGCUCUUAACUCACGUUUAA